RNAcentral lists this ribosomal RNA (513 nucleotides) under uncultured Neisseriaceae bacterium. RNAcentral describes it as "bacterial SSU rRNA". It matches the Rfam family "Bacterial small subunit ribosomal RNA", at positions 523 to 1033 of the family's 1533-position model. Lineage: Bacteria; Pseudomonadati; Pseudomonadota; Betaproteobacteria; Neisseriales; Neisseriaceae. The record is from RNAcentral.
AUACGUAGGGUGCGAGCGUUAAUCGGAAUUACUGGGCGUAAAGCGAGCGCAGACGGUUAUUUAAGCAAGAUGUGAAAGCCCCGGGCUCAACCUGGGAACUGCGUUUUGAACUGGGUAACUAGAGUGUGUCAGAGGGGGGUAGAAUUCCACGUGUAGCAGUGAAAUGCGUAGAGAUGUGGAGGAAUACCGAUGGCGAAGGCAGCCCCCUGGGAUAACACUGACGUUCAUGCUCGAAAGCGUGGGUAGCAAACAGGAUUAGAUACCCCGGUAGUCCACGCCCUAAACGAUGUCAAUUAGCUGUUGGGGUACUUGAUGCCUUAGUAGCGUAGCUAACGCGUGAAAUUGACCGCCUGGGGAGUACGGUCGCAAAGAUUAAAAACUCAAAGGAAUUGACGGGGACCCGCACAAGCGGUGGAUGAUGUGGAUUAAUUCGAUGCAACGCGAAGAACCUUACCUGGUCUUGACAUGUACGGAAUCCUCCAGAGACGGAGGAGUGCCUUCGGGAGCCGUAAC